This 710-nucleotide long non-coding RNA is filed under the name Rattus norvegicus (Norway rat). RNAcentral describes it as "long non-coding RNA NONRATT021310". The record is from RNAcentral. Lineage: Eukaryota; Metazoa; Chordata; Mammalia; Rodentia; Muridae.
GUCUAACACAACGCCGCGGGGAGGAAGCAGUAACGAAUCAUAAUUAAGAACACAUCAGGUUCAGAAGUGUGUUAAGAAAUUGACUGGAAGGUUAUAAAAGUCAUAUGGAAGUCAUAGCCCAGAAGAGGCACCACCACCUUGAAAAAGAACAAAUGUGGAAGAUGAUUAUUUCCCGGUUUCAAAACUUAUAGUAAUCUUCCUAUGGAGACCUGCAAAGAAUUGAUGAUAUAGGGUAAACUCACACAUUACGGUCAAUUUCAGACAAGGAGAGGAAUCCGUACAUUUGUUUGUUUGUUUGUUGUUUGUUUGUUUGGCUUUGGUGCUGGGGGUUGAACCUCGUAUGUGUUGAAUAAACCUUCUACCACUGAGCUACAUCCUUGUCCCUAAGUUUUCACAUUUUAUUUAGACAUGGGGCCUCACUAACUUAUCCGUGCUGACCUUGAACUCAUUCUGUAGCCUGGGCUGGCCUUGAACUUGUAGUUCUCCAGCCUCAGCCUCCCAAUUAGCUGGGAUUUCAGGACUUGUGACAUAUUCUAUUCAACAAAUGGUGCGGGGACGGCUAAAUGUCUAUGUGCAAAGGAGUAAAGUUGGACUCUCUUCAGCCCCAUACUCCUCCCUCAAAAUACUAUGUGUAGUGCAGUAUGCGUGUGUGGAGAUGCCACAUUGAAACUCAUUAUUUUGUACUCUAAUUAAAUAAAUUAUAAAACUGU